UAGGUUUCAAGUUUCCAGAUAUAGGGAGAACCAAGUUUCAACUUCCUCCUAAUUUCAAACCCAAAAUGUUCUUAUUUUGUUGGGAGAACUUUUCUAAGGGUACAGAAGUUAUUGUUAUCUAAUGCCAUAGCCCCUUUAUAUAAAUAUACCAAUUUGAUAGUUUUAUGAAUUUAUUUUGAGGAGAGAAGAUCUUCGAAGGCAAGAUUAAGACUGAAUCUAUUCUCAGCAUUUCCAAGGUCUACAAUGCAAUUGGUUGUAAAAAGUGGAAACCAAUUCUGAUUUGCAUAAGCCAAAGAGACAUUGAAAAACACAUCAAAGCUCUUUGGGAGUUUGGAGCACAGCUUUCGAUGCAGGCACAUCUAACUGGGUAUCCCACUUCUGCCAGUGAUCAAAUAUGCGACCUUGGUCAGAGACUUAACUUUCACUGUGUCUUAGCAUCCUCGUCUAUGAAGAUGAAAGCAUGCAUCUUA
This 470-nucleotide long non-coding RNA is filed under the name Equus caballus (horse). RNAcentral describes it as "lncRNA (ENSECAG00000056593.1)". The record is from RNAcentral. Lineage: Eukaryota; Metazoa; Chordata; Mammalia; Perissodactyla; Equidae.